CUGCCACAAUGAUGGGGUUCGAUUCCGAUCGAACUAGGUGAUCCACACCAGUGCUUCGGACAGCGGUUCGAUUCCGCUCAGCUCCAUUACCCCCUAUUGCAAGGGGCUGCAAUGGUUUCGACGGGGCAUCAGGCG
This 135-nucleotide transfer-messenger RNA is filed under the name Synechococcaceae bacterium WBB_34_004. RNAcentral's name for it is "partial transfer-messenger RNA". It matches the Rfam family "Cyanobacteria transfer-messenger RNA", at positions 1 to 131 of the family's 288-position model. From Rfam's summary of the family: Bacterial tmRNA, also known as 10Sa RNA or SsrA, is named for its dual tRNA and mRNA-like properties. The record is from RNAcentral. Lineage: Bacteria; Bacillati; Cyanobacteriota; Cyanophyceae; Synechococcales; Synechococcaceae.